GCUACCUGCAGUCGACGGCAGCACAGAGGAGCUUGCUCCUUGGGUGGCGAGUGGCGGACGGGUGAGGAAUGCAUCGGAAUCUGCCUAUUUGUGGGGGAUAACGUAGGGAAACUUACGCUAAUACCGCAUACGUCCUACGGGAGAAAGUGGGGGACCUUCGGGCCUCACGCAGAUAGAUGAGCCGAUGCCGGAUUAGCUAGUUGGCGGGGUAAAGGCCCACCAAGGCGACGAUCCGUAGCUGGUCUGAGAGGAUGAUCAGCCACACUGGAACUGAGACACGGUCCAGACUCCUACGGGAGGCAGCAGUGGGGAAUAUUGGACAAUGGGCGCAAGCCUGAUCCAGCCAUGCCGCGUGUGUGAAGAAGGCCUUCGGGUUGUAAAGCACUUUUGUCCGGAAAGAAAAGCGCUCGAUUAAUACUCGGGUGUUAUGACGGUACCGGAAGAAUAAGCACCGGCUAACUUCGUGCCAGCAGCCGCGGUAAUACGAAGGGUGCAAGCGUUACUCGGAAUUACUGGGCGUAAAGCGUGCGUAGGUGGUUUGUUAAGUCUGAUGUGAAAGCCCUGGGCUCAACCUGGGAACUGCAUUGGAAACUGGCUUACUAGAGUGCGGUAGAGGGGUGUGGAAUUCCCGGUGUAGCAGUGAAAUGCGUAGAUAUCGGGAGGAACAUCUGUGGCGAAGGCGACACCCUGGACCAGCACUGACACUGAGGCACGAAAGCGUGGGGAGCAAACAGGAUUAGAUACCCUGGUAGUCCACGCCCUAAACGAUGCGAACUGGAUGUUGGGGGCAACUUGGCCCUCAGUAUCGAAGCUAACGCGUUAAGUUCGCCGCCUGGGAAGUACGGUCGCAA
Molecule: ribosomal RNA, 851 nt
Filed under: uncultured bacterium
Lineage: Bacteria
Description: bacterial SSU rRNA
Rfam family: Bacterial small subunit ribosomal RNA
Source: RNAcentral